This 551-nucleotide unclassified non-coding RNA is filed under the name Hevea brasiliensis (rubber tree). The record is from RNAcentral. Lineage: Eukaryota; Viridiplantae; Streptophyta; Magnoliopsida; Malpighiales; Euphorbiaceae.
AAUAUUCAAACGUGUAUGAAUUCUCCAAUACAGAAGAAAAUACUAUAGCCAAUAGGCUAAUGCAAGUGUGUCCCAAUUCAAAGAAAGUUCAGGUUGGUUUUAAUAUUUUGAAACGAGAAAUAAAUAUUCAUGCAAAGUAAAAUAUAGUUGUGCAAAAGGGUAAAUGGGAAGGACCGUAAAUUCUUUAGGGUUCUAUCUGCGAAUCUCAAAUAUAGCUGUGGCUGCAAUAAUCAGAGGACCAAAGCAACACCUCAGGCCAACAAAACUCUGAUAUUGCCAUUUAUUCUGGUUCUAUGAUUGAGUUGUACACUCAGGUAUACCCACGGACGGAUCAAAAUCAAAAGCCAGAUGAUGUGGUUCAUCUUCAAACAUCAAGGAGCAAGCGACGGGGAUCUUCAACCACAUCCUUGAUUCUUCUCAAGAAGAAGACUGCCUCUCUUCCAUCGAUCAGCCUGUGAUCGUAUGUCAGAGCAAUGUACAUCAUUGGUCUUGGAACAAUAUUGCCUCCAACGACCAUAGGACGACUGACUAUUGAAUGCAUUCCCAAGAUA